Molecule: ribosomal RNA, 436 nt
Filed under: Alcanivorax sp.
Lineage: Bacteria; Pseudomonadati; Pseudomonadota; Gammaproteobacteria; Oceanospirillales; Alcanivoracaceae
Description: bacterial SSU rRNA
Rfam family: Bacterial small subunit ribosomal RNA
Source: RNAcentral
GAGGCGUCGAGCGGCGGACGGGUGAGUAACGCGUGAGAAUCUACCCAUGAGUGGGGGACAACCCGGGGAAACUCGGGCUAAUACCGCAUACGCCCUACGGGGUAAAGCAGGGGACCUUCGGGCCUUGCGCUGAUGGAUGAGCUCGCGUCGGAUUAGCUUGUUGGUGAGGUAAAGGCUCACCAAGGCGACGAUCCGUAGCUGGUCUGAGAGGAUGAUCAGCCACACCGGGACUGAGACACGGCCCGGACUCCUACGGGAGGCAGCAGUGGGGAAUCUUGGACAAUGGGGGCAACCCUGAUCCAGCCAUGCCGCGUGUGUGAAGAAGGCCUUCGGGUUGUAAAGCACUUUCAGUAGGGAGGAAGGCUUACCCCUAAUACGGGUGAGUACUUGACGUUACCUACAGAAGAAGCACCGGCUAAUUUCGUGCCAGCAGCCG